Molecule: long non-coding RNA, 1427 nt
Organism: Oncorhynchus tshawytscha (Chinook salmon)
Lineage: Eukaryota; Metazoa; Chordata; Actinopteri; Salmoniformes; Salmonidae
Source: Ensembl
GUUUUCCCAAAGGUGUCUGCAGCAUUGUGACGUAUUUGUAGGCAUAUCAUUGGAAGAUUGACCAUAAGAGACUACAUUUACCAGGUGGUCGCUUGGUGUCCUCCGUCGCAAUUAUUGCGUAAUCUCCAGCUGCAGUAUUUUUCCGUUUGUCUCUGAUGACAAACCGACUGCCAGGAAUGAUUUUUCAUCUAAUAGAAUUGUGAAAAACACCUUGAGGAUUGAUUCUAAACAACGUUUGCCAUGUUUCUGUCAAUAUUAUGGAGCUAAUUUGGAAAAAAGUUUGGCGUUGUAAGUGACUGCAUUUUCGUUUUUUUUUUCCUUAGCCAAACGUGAUGAACAAAACGGAGCUAUUUCUCUUACACAAAUAAUCUUUUUGGAAAAAAUGAACAUUUGCUAUGUAUCUGAGAGUCUCGUCAUUGAAAACAUCCAAAGUUCUUCAAAGACCAGGCUCCCAGAACGUUAAGGCAGACGCACUGUCCCGGCUGUAUGACACAGAGGAGCGGUCCAUGGAUCCCACUCCCAUACUCCCAGCUUCUUGUUUGGUGGCACCGGUAGUGAGGGAGCUGGACGCGGACAUUGAGCGGGUGUCACGUGCAGAGCCCUCACCCCCUCAGUGUCCAGCUGGACGUCUGUACGUUCUGUUUGCUGUCCGCAACCAACUGAUCUAUUGGGCCCAAACGUCACCCUCGUCUGGUCAUCCUGGGAUAGGUCGGACGGUGUGCUGUCUUGAUGGGAGGUACUGGUGGCCCACUUUAGCUAAGGACGUGAGGAUUUAUGUUUCCUCCUGCUCAGUGUGCGCCCAGUGCAAGGUCCUAGACACCUGCCCAGAGGGUAUCAGACGGUUCUGGCUCCUUGGCAUCAGAGUCAGACCAAGGCUCCUGCGGUGGACAAUUGGGUCCGGCGCGUGGAGGAAACCUGGGAGGCCGCCCACGUCCAUCACCGCAGUGAGGCCCCGGUGUUGGCACCAGGGGACAGGGCUGGCUCUUGACCCAAAACCUGCCCCUCCGCCUGCCCUUCCGGAAGCUGGGUCCGCGGUUUGUGGGGCCGUUUAAAGUCCUGAGGAGAGUGAAUAAGGUAUUUUAUAGGUUACAGCUACCCAUACAAUUACCAUAUUAACCCCUCGUUCCAUGUGUCUCUCCUCAGGCCGGUGGUGGCUGGCCCACUCCAGGAGGCUGAAGUGCGGGAUGUUCCUCCGCCGCCUCUGGACAUUGAGGUGGUCCCGGCGUACUCCAUUCGAUCCAUCUUGGAUUCGAGACGUCGGGCGAGGGGCCUUCAGUACCUCGUGGACUGGGAGGGGUACAGUCCGGAGGAGAGAUGCUGUGUUCCGGUGGAGGACGUGUUAGAUCCUUCCAUGCUGCGAGAAUUCCACCAUCUCCAUCCGGAUCGCUCUGCGCCUCACCCUACGGGACGCCCCCGAGGCCGGCGUC